This 74-nucleotide transfer RNA is filed under the name archaeon. Its description in RNAcentral is "tRNA-Ile". It matches the Rfam family "tRNA". Rfam says of the family: Transfer RNA (tRNA) molecules are approximately 80 nucleotides in length. Their secondary structure includes four short double-helical elements and three loops (D, anti-codon, and T loops). The record is from RNAcentral.
GAGCCCAUAGCUUAGCCAGGUAGAGCGCCGCUCUUAUAAGGCGGAGGUCCUGAGUUCAAAUCUCAGUGGGCUCA